This 367-nucleotide ribosomal RNA is filed under the name uncultured organism. RNAcentral's name for it is "bacterial LSU rRNA". It matches the Rfam family "Bacterial large subunit ribosomal RNA", at positions 2115 to 2486 of the family's 2925-position model. The record is from RNAcentral.
CGAUGAAUGAUUGGAUUUUUUGCGAGUAUAAGUGGGAGGCUUGAUUUAUUCUUGCGGGAUUUAGGAGCCAUCAGUGAGAUACCACUCUGGUAAUGUUAGAUUUCUAACUUUGAAUCAUAAUCUGGUCAAAGAACAGUUUCAGGCGGGCAGUUUGACUGGGGCGGUCGCCUCCCAAAUGGUAACGGAGGCGUACAAAGGUUUCCUCUGAACGUGUAGAAAUCGUAUCUAGAGUGUAAAGGCAUAAGGAAGCUUGACUGUGAGACCUACAAGUCGAGCAGGGACGAAAGUCGGUCUUAGUGAUCUGACGGUGCUGAGUGGAAAGGCCGUCACUCAACGGAUAAAAGUUACUCUAGGGAAACAGGCUGAA